UUUUUUUUUUUUUUUGUUCUCUGUUUUCCGGUGACCAGAAAACUGAGCAAAAAGAUACCCAAGUUGGGUCUGGUGGGUAUCUUCCGAUUCUUGCUCUUGUUUUUUAAUGAGCAAAAUUAGUGGGAGAUUCCAAAUAAUAGAGGAAGAGUUUGAGAUCAGAUAGAAUCAUCCAGAUAGAAGAUAACAGAUGAUGGUUCUGUUUACUUAUGGAAUAUCAAUUUCUCAUAUUUAUCGGUGGGAGAGACUGAGUGAGAGACAGAGAUUAAAGUCUUCGAGACGUGGUGAGUAGGUGGACUCGAGUAUAGUUGAGACUGAUUUUCAAAGACAACUUUUUCGGUGUUGGUUUCCGACCGUCCUUAAUUUUCUGCUAUUUCAUGAAAACUAACAAAUAGAGUUUGGUGAAGUUCAAGUGGACCGGAAUCGUCCUACUAUAGGGGAACACCAUUAAUCAAUUUUGUUUUACAUGAUUUUGUUAUAAAUGAAAAAGAAUUAUGAUUAAUGAUACAGUCAUGAUUUAUUAGUAUAAAAUCUUAAAAAGGAAAUGGCCAUUAAGAAAUUUUUGGUUUCUAUAAAAAAAUAUGUCGACGGCAAGUCCCCUCAUCAUAUGUGGAAAUUGCGAAAUCGGUAGGUUAUUUAUGAUAUACAUACAUGGAGGAAGAUGCUACCGGUUCGUUGGGAGGUGGCAGAGAUAGAGAUCUAGUUUCAAUUAGUGUUGAAUGCCCUUUAUUGUUUCGAGUCAAGGUAUGAUAUUAGACUUACUAGUAGGUCAACAUAUUUAUGAGUUGACUGAAUUAUAAGCUGAUUUCAUGUCUAGUUACUCAUGUUGCUCUUAUGUCAAUACGGCUCAUGAUUCAAAAGUUCAUUAUAAGUAACGUUGCGAGCCUCCGUUGAGAAGCAAAAGAACCUAAGAAAAUUUUGAAUUCAUCGGUAUUUUAGAUAAAAUCUCAACAGUUCAUUUCUGACUAAUUUGGUGCUAAUCUCUUAUAGGGCUGAAUUCAGACGUUGCAUAAUGUGAUAUGUUGAAGUUUACGUAAGAAACUCGUAUGAAUGACUAUAAUGAAAAAUGCACAAAGGAGUACCAUAGUUCCCCAAAUGUAGACCAACAUUACGAAAAGGAAGGAAAACCUUCACCGAACACAUUUGAGAAAAGCACCUCACGCACAACUUGAUCUAGAGUGAGAAAUUGAAAAAUGUUGAAAAAUUAUUCUUGAUUCUAAUAUGCCAUUCUAGAAGCUCCAAAAGCUAGUGAGGUCAUGUAUGAUAUAACUUCGCAUGUAAAAAAAUCAGCUUUUUAUUCAAAAAAUUUAGAUUUUAUAGUGUUUAGCAAAUUAAUGAAAAUCAGCUUUAAAAUAAAUAAAUUACAUGUUAUUGCAAACGCUUUAAGAAACAAUCAGAAUGUUACUUUUAGAAGCUAUUGUCAAUAAAAACACUAAAAAAUAUUACAUUUUGUAUCUGCAUCAUUUUUAGAACUACUAUUACUAAACACAAACCAUUUUAAUUCAUAACUAAUUAUUUUCGUAGUACAACAACUACAUUUUUUCUACUUCUUAAAGUCGCAAUAACAAACUAACCUUGAUUUGAGUUCAAAUUUCCUUAUUUUCACUCAUCCGGGACUUAAAACGUGAAAUAUAAAUUACGUUAUAUGACAUGACACCGAUCCGUAAACGAGUCGCAAGAAACUAUCUGCUACACAUGUCUUUUUUUACAACAAACGGUCAUAAUUCGUAUGACAACUAAAGUUGUAUUGUGCUAAACUAACCCAUAUCUUAGCAAUUCAUGUCUUGUUAUCACACAAUAUAAGAAUGCAAAAAGUCAUAAAGAAACUAGAAAGUUUUGAACAAUUCUUCUACUCCCAUACUAAGCACUUUAGAGUUGUUUCAAAAUGUUUCGAUAGAGCGCGUCCUAGUGACCGACCCUAGCAGACUUGGAGGAGUAUGUUGUGGGAGGACAUAUAUUACAAUAUUGAAGUUCUUCCUAGAGAUGGAGCUCCAAAGACCCAUCUUCGUACCAGCAUCAAGGUUGUGUGAAUCAUCGACAUGAUUAGAAAAAUCCUCCUUAGUUGGAGUGCGGAGAUCGCUCUUCUUGCAGCGGUACACCGACGAAUCAACACAAUCAUGAGAUAUCUUUUGACGAAAGCCUGCAGCUUCUCACUUGGGAGGUUAGUAAACGAAAGCUUACUCUUAUGAGCCAUCCUCUUCUUCUCUCUUAUUCAUCCACUGAGAUUCUCUCUUCUUAAAUAACAAAAUUAUCAUUGAAAUAUCGGCGAUUUAAUCUUUACACAACAUGAGAAUAUCUAAAUAUUGCAAUAUUUGCGCGAAACUCACGAAAUCUUGUUAAUAAAUCAGCCCAUUUCUCUUUAUUGAGAAAUCGAAGAAGCUAUCCAAAAGGUUUUGCCAAGCCUACUCGUAUAUAUGGUCAUUAACUCGGCCCAAACUUAUGAAAUUAACACUAAAGUCUUGGCGUAGCGUAGGUAACAUGAUUCGAACCCAGGUUGUCACAUGUUAUAUCUCACAUUCUCAACCAAUCCUCUUAAGUCUUAAGAUACACUUAAUAGUCUAUUAUAUAAACUCUACAUAUAUUUUCACACUUUUAAACUUUCCUUUCGAAAUUUUAUUAAUAUCACUAUCAAAAUAUCUAUUUUUCUGACAGUCGAAAUUUUCUCGAAACGCGAUAUUUUAGUCCUUAAUUUGAUGCCUAAGCUACUUCGCUCCUCCAAACUGGGCCGGUGUUGGAUCAAACAAACAGAAACUUGAAAGGAGGAGAACGAUACAAGUCAUACAACUACGUUGAUUUUAAACAGAAACUUGAAAAGAGAACGAUACAACUACGUUGGUUUCUAACCCAAUGGAUGCCUAUGUUUGGGCCAAUAUUCCAUUUUCCUUUUUAAUAAUUUUUUUUCUUUCUAGCAGCUAGACAGCUAGUUAACCAAUUGUGAAGCUACACAACUAGGACUUGCAGCGGAAAACGACUACCACGCGUUGCAUGGAGAGGUUAGGUCCUGCAUGCAACUCCGCCGCCCGUAAAUCUCCUACUGACAGCUCUACCCCUCGAUUUGCAGAUACCGAUGUAUAACCCGAGGACAAAACGGUAAUCGUUGAUACUCCGAGCCGGACAUAAAACCAUCCAAGAACAAAGAAGAGAACCACCACCGGAAAAAUGGCCGGACCACCUCUACCUCCACCUCUUCUAACGUGUUUGGUGGGUGUUGCAGUCUUAAUCUGCGCACUAACCCUCUGUGUUGCCCUAGAUGUCAGCCCCCAAGACCCAAUCAUCCACCAAGUCACAGACCAUGAUACUAAUAAGCUCCUUGGAACCGAAAAAGAGUUCAAGAUUUUCAUGGAGAAGUAUGGGAAGAAGUACCCUACUAUGAAGGAGUACAUGCACCGCCUCGGUGUUUUUGCCAAGAACAUGAUCAGAGCCGCCGAGCACCAAGCUCUGGAUCCGACGGCGGUUCACGGCGUCACGCCGUUCUCGGAUCUGGAGGAGGAGGAGUUCAAGAGGAUGUACACCGGCGUAAGAGGUGCGCCCGGCUUAACCAACGGCGGAGGCGGUGCGGGAAGCACGGUUGAGCUUCUGGAUGUUAGCGGGUUGCCUGAGAGUUUUGAUUGGAGAGAAAAAGGAGCUGUUACUGAGGUCAAGAUGCAGGUAGUUAAUGUUACAGUUUCUAAUUUUCGUUUUUUUAUUAUUGUUUUUUUAGGUUGGUACUACACAAUAUAUGUGAUUAACAGUUUCGGACCGUACUUAAAUCCUAGCUUAUUGCAAAUCAAGUUAUGGCAAAUACGAUAUAGAAUUCUCGUAGCUGGUUGUAAAUUACUAAAUUGUGUAAUCUGAAGUCGAUCAGCUGAUCAGGUGCUGCUGGUUCUUUUGUUUAAUUGAUUGUAUAACUAGCUUGUGUUUGAGAGUUUGAAGUUUUGUACAGAAAGAUUUGUCUAAUGGAGCUAGGGUGUUUGUGGAACACGGAAUUUUUCUUCAGGCAAGGCGUUGUAUUGUGAUACUUAAAGCCUCUAAAUCUCUUGUUAUGGAUGCAGGGUGGCUGUGGGUCAUGCUGGGCCUUUAGCACAACAGGAGCUAUUGAAGGAGCCAAUUUCAUUGCCACUGGGAAGCUUGUUAGUCUCAGUGAACAGCAGCUUGUUGACUGUGAUCACCAGGUAAUUAAGCCUAGCCUCUCUGGAAUAUAUUGAAGUACUCAUUUAACUUUAGGGCGAUAAAAAUUUAAUUGAUUGAGCAUAUAUAUAAUAUUUGGCAUGCCUACUUAAUUAGUUUCGUUUAAUGUUUGUGGCAACUAUAAUCAAGUGUGAUGCAAAAGAGAAAGAUGCAUGUGAUCGUGGUUGUGGUGGCGGACUUAUGACAAAUGCCUACAAGUAUCUAAUGGAAAGCAGGAGGGGUUGCAAAGACGAGGUUUCAUACCCUAUACGGGGGAAAAAAGGGGCGAAAUGCAAAUUUAAUCCCUGAAAAAAGUAGCCGUGAGAGUAACCAAUUUCACCACUAUUCCCCUUGAUGAGAAUCAGAUUGCAGCGAACUUGGUCCACAAUGGUCCUCUUGCCAGUGAGUACUAAACCUGAUAAUAUGCUUAAAAAUAGCUAGGCUUUUUAUGUAUCUAUGUGUGCGUACAUAGAACUGCCUUAAGUGUCUUAUUUUCUGAAUAUGAUGUGCACUGUUUAGCAUAUUUAGAUCUGAGUGUAGAUACACCCCACUGAUACAGAAUCUUAAUUGAUGUAUGUAUGCGCAGUUGGCUUGAAUGCUAUGUUCAUGCAAACCUACAUUGGCGGUGUGUCAUGCCCUCUUGUUUGUUUCAAGAAAUGGGUGAACCACGGUGUUUUACUUGUUGGAUAUGGUGAGAGUGGCUUCUCGAUUCUCAGGCUCAGCAACAAGCCGUAUUGGAUCAUCAAGAAUUCAUGGAGCGCAAAAUGGGGAGAACAUGGUUAUUACCGACUUUGCCGAGGCCAUGGCAUGUGUGGGAUGAAUACUAUGGUGUCUGCAGUUGUGACCAGUACUCGGGCAUCCUAGCUGCAUCUCCCGAGAUUAGCUAGUAUACAAUUAUACACUAUAAUAUAUAUAUGCACCUCUCCCUUGUUUUUUCUUAAUCCGAAUUUGAUGUUCCUAUAAUCAUAUUUCAAGAAUAUUAUUGUUAAUAUGCCGAAGUGGAAAGUCUUGUUUACGUCAAAACCAAUUCGAACCAUAUUAUGUUAGCUUUAAAUGCUAGAUUGUCAGACUUCAAAUUUAAGUCGGGAAAAUUUUACAAUGUGUUAAUGUAUGUCAUGUAUUAAUUUUAUCCUAAAAUUGUAAAAUGAGUCUCUAAAAUAGUAAUAUUAGUACUCGAAGUUGUAAUAUAUAUGAGUAGUUGUAAAUUUUAUAGUUACAACAUUAGUCAUCAUGUGUCCUUAAUGUGUCUUUAAAGUAAAUUUUAUAGUUACAACAUUAGUUAUCAUGUGUACUUAAAGUGAUAAAUUGCGUGCUUAAAGUCGUAAUUGAAUCCUUAAAGUGAUUAAAAAAAGUUUUUAUAUCUUUGAGGAUUUGUAUUACAACUUUGAGGACUCAAUUACCAUUUUAAGGACACAUGAGGAUUAAUGUUGUAACUAAUUUUUUUUACAACUUUAAAGACUUAUAUUACAACUUUGAGGACUAGUUAAUAUUACUCCCGUAAAGACUCGAUCAUUUUAUAACUUGAGGACAAAGUUGAUGCAUCACAUGCAUUAACACACCAAAGUUGAUUCUCCACAAGCUUGUUGAAGAACUUGGUAGAAGUUUUGAUUUGUUGAAAGGCUUGAAGACGAGGGUUGAUCAAGGGCCGUAGAGGGUUGACGUUGAUCGAGUUUGGGCCACGAGCAGUUCCAUAUGGUGGUUGCUCUUCGUCUUGUAGUUGGUGAAGAUGUCUGCUAUUUAGCAAUUUGGGACUCUUUGGGAUUUGGCAACUUCUAAGCUUGAGAUUGAUGAAGAAUCGGCUAUUUGGCAACUUGAUGAUUCUUCAACGGUUUUGGGAGAAUUCUGAGUUCUCGGGAGUAAUUUUUUUCUCUUGUCCGGAAGUCCUUAUCUUGAUAUGAGAGGGGGUAUUUAUGGUGUCGAUGCUCCUCCGUAAAUAGAAUGCAUUAAAGUCACAACUUUAAUUGUAUUUCCUUAAUGAUAUAAUUAAAUCAAUCACUUUUGAUUGAUUGAUUCAAUUAUUCAAUUUACUAUAAUUAAAUCAAUCAAUCUUAAUUGAUCGAUUUAAUUAUGACCGAUAAGGUAUUUCACCAAUUUGAUUAAAUUCCGACUUCCUUUUCGAUAAUCGAUUUGAUUUGAUUGAUGUUUGAUUAUCGAUUGACAUUUAAUAUUUGAUUUUAGUCGGGAUUGAUGAUUUUGUUGUCGACCGACCAUUAUCAAGCCGCCAUGUGUUAUUUCCGAAGACUUUUCAACUUUGCUGACUCACGAGCCACGUAUGUAAUUUGUCAGGCCCAUGGGUUGUAUGAAUAAUUUAAUAAUUAUUAUUCUCAUUAAAUUUUAUGCGUCUACAAAUACCCCCACUUUAAGGUGUGUUGUAGUCAUGUUGUUGUCACGUGUCAGAGGUGCGACUUGAAGUUAUUUUUGAUGACACUUGUGGCGUGUUUUGCCAUCCACUCGUUUUUACGUCUGAAAUAUUGGUCCGUACCAUGAUGACAUUUUUGUUGCCUUUGAAAUUUGUAUUUUGAACGCUUGAGAAUCAUGCAUUGCGACCUUUCCAUAUGUUUAGAAUACAUGAGCAAUUUGCAUGCUUAGUGGAUAUGAUCUUCAUUUGAACAACUUCCAUACGUGGCUUUAAAUUUACCCGUCUCGCAACUAUUUUCAAUUGGUAGGAUUUGAAUGAGAGAUGAAAGCUUUUCUUUUCUUUUCUUAUCGAUUGAUGCGUGGCUGACAUUUCCUUCAUUGGUAUAAAUAAUUACCACCUUCUAAAUGAGUUUGGUCUUCUACAAGUAAGAAAUCGUGUAAUGGCUUGAUGACUUCUUGACCAAAUAGAAAAGUGAACGCAUGAUGACAUUAUAAAAUUGUACUGUAGGGUUUUGCCCUAAUCACUGUAUUCUCUUCCGUAGCUAGCCGCCCGCCCGUACUUCUUGUAAUUCUUUCUUCCUUCUUCUUUUUCUUUUUCUUUUUAUUUUUUUAUUUUACUGUAGGCCUCAGUCGUGAGUGAAGUUUGGUACGAAAAUAGGUCCAACCUUGUACCGCGAACUUGACAACGAAAUUGUGGAGGCAGGAUCAAUGCGAUGGUGCCAUGCAAUUGCGUUGUCGUAAUCCUCUCUAUUGUUUGAUUAUUGAUUUUACUAUCGCAUGCCUCCAUGCUUACUGACCCAUCCUUAUGCAUAGUGUAGUCGAUAUAUUUUUUUUCAGUUGCGGCUGAAGGGUCAUCUUUUCGGCAAGCACAGUUGAAGAAAACCCACGAGGUACGCACAGUUGAAGAAAACCUUCGAGAGACCAGAGCCUUGAGGUACUACUUUUGUUUUAGUUGAUUUUCUUAAUCCUUUGGCUUGUCCAUAUGCUUUCCGGAAGGAAACAAAGAUUGUCAAGAGUGACAACCCUCGUUUUUCAUGGUGGGUGAGCUUACUCUUUAAUCAACUUUGAUUGUCAUCUCAUUAUGCAAAGCGGCAAUUUUUUUUCUUCGCCAAGUUCGGCAGCAGCAUGGUACUAACUCUUUUUUCUAUUUUUCUUUUCAGAAUUUUGAUGGCAAAUUGAAGAACGCGAACACCUAACCGCUUGGUUUCUUUUACGUCUUGGACGUGAGAUAAACCGUUGAAAGUGUUUAGGCUUUACGUACCCUGACAGUAAUUGAAGAACAAGAACACCUAACCGCUUGAUUUAUUCCACGUUUAAGAUGUGGGAUAAAUUGCUUAAAGUGUUUAGGUUUUGCGUAGACGUAUACUAUUCCGCAUGGUGUUCUCCAAGAGUUUCAAGAAGGACACAAACAUCAUCUUUGAAGAUAUCGAGGAUAUUGAAAGUGAUGGCACCACCUCUCAUCUAAGCUCGCUCAUCUCUAACAACUUCUCGCUCAUCCUUGAUUUAACUAAUAACUUUGAGAUCAUGGGUUCAAACCUCACAGACAUAUGUAAGGUGCGUGAGUUAUUUAAUAAAAGUUUUUUUUUUUUAAAGAGCUCGCUCAUCAUGAUUUCACCUCUGUGAGCUUCGAGAAAUUUUUAAAUGCUACGGGAGGACCAUGUGGCAGUCUAACGUGGUCCUACGAUCCAAUCAAAUUUAGACAUGUGGAUUUUUUACAACUAAAAUAUAAACAAAUAUUUUCUAUUUUUUGUGAAAUGACAUUCAUGGGUAUUUAGCAAGUUCAAAUUAGGGUCUAGGGUAUAGGGUUUAAAGUUUAGGGUUAGAGUUUAGGGUAUAGGGUUUAGGGUUUAGGGUUUAGGGUUUGGGGUUUAGGGUUUAGGGCUUAGGGUUUAGUAUUAAAAAAACAACAAAAAAUCUAAAAUGGUCUUUGACAAAAUAGCUGAAAUAAUUUUUCGUAAAGAAAAUCUACAUGUCUAAAUUUGAUUGGAAAGAAGGCCCACGUCAGACUGCCACGUGGUCCUCCCGUAGCACUGAAAAAUUUCUCAUGAGCUUCAUUGACGUUUCUUCAACGUGGUGGUUGAUUCAAUUAUUUAAUUUACCAUAAUUAAAUUAAUAAUUAAAUUCAGUUUAUCUCUUUAAACUUUAAGUCGAAAAUUAGUUUGAUCCCUGAUUUUUUUUUUUUAUUUCACGUCAGUCUAUAUACUUUCACAAUUACAUCACUGUAGUCUAAAAUUUGAAUUUGGCGCUGAACAUGACUCUGUUGAUGUAGACCCGACAACAUGGCCCCAUUUUUAAGAUAUUAAAUUUUAAUUUGAACAUAAUGUCCAAACUACCCUUAUCUUCUUUUUUAGGAGAACAAAAAAUUAAUGUUGGGUGGGCUGGGUUUGAAGCCUAGACCUUAUCUUUUUUUUUUUUAAUCACGUCUGACUCUGCUGAUGUAGACCCGACAGCAUGGCCUCACUUUUAAGAUAUUAAAUUUUAAUUUGAACAUAAUGUCCAAACUACCCUUAUCUUCUUUUUUUAGGAGAACAAAAAAUUAAUGUUGGGUGGGCAGAGUUCGAAGCCUAGAGCUUGCUGUCAAAUACUAUGCUCCAAACCACUGGAGUAACUAUUGCUCAUAUACCUUUUAGUACAUCUAUAUUUAUUAGUACGAAAAAAUGAAAGGAAAAUAAUAAAUAAUAAAACUAUUUGUGAUUGUGUUCCUACCAUUCACGCCCAGACCUUUACUCCAUGCCUUCACUGAAGGUCAUAAUCCCAGAAUUUUUUUUUCUUUCAGUUUGUUUAUCCUCCUCUUCUUUUUCUUCUUUUUCCUUCAAAUCAAACUAUCAAAGAAAUCACGCUGCAAAUUCCGACCGGGAGGAUGAAGGGUGAGACGGCUUCUUCGUCGUCGGGGAAGCUAAGGAGCUUAAGGAUUGUUUCUGACGAUUCUUGAGCUUGGCAGAAGAGGGGUUUGAUAGGAAAUUCGGCAUCGAUGCGAUGGCGGAACUUCUCUGCUUUUGAGGAGCUUUGUGGCUGGAUUGGUGGGGUGGGGGGGGGGGGGGGGGGGGGAUUUGGGGGUUUGGGGUUUUCAAUGAAUUGGCUUGGUGGUCGACGGCGAUUCGGAGGUUGAAAUUGAUGGGGUGGCAUCCUCGAGGCUGCGUUCGAGGCCGGGAUCAGAGGGGUGAGGCGGAGGGACUAGGUCGUGGUCGCCUAAAGUUUAUUUUAUUUUAUUUUUUUUCCCUAGUCUCUUUAUUUCAAAAUGUCUGUUUUGUCCUUCUUAUGGGUCAUCCUGUCUGGUCCACAUCAGCAGAUGAUGUCAUGUUCGGAGUCAAAUUCAAAAUUUUAGACCACAUUGAUAUAAUUGUGAAAGUACAAGAACUGACGUGAUAAAAAAAAAUCAAGACCAAACUGAUUUUCGAACAAAAAAUUUGAGGGAGUAAACUGAAUUUAAUCCUUAAAUCAAUCAGUCUUAAUUAAUCGAUUUAAUUAUGACCGAUAAAGUAUUUCACUAAUUUGAUUAAAUUCCGACUUCAUUUUUAAUAAUCGAUUUGAUUUGAUUGAUGUCUGAUUAUCGAUUAAUGUUUAAUAUUUGAUUUUAAUUAG
This 10083-nucleotide long non-coding RNA is filed under the name Fragaria vesca (wild strawberry). Its description in RNAcentral is "long non-coding RNA (FVES_LNC003776)". Lineage: Eukaryota; Viridiplantae; Streptophyta; Magnoliopsida; Rosales; Rosaceae. The record is from RNAcentral.